UUGAUCCUGGCUCAGGAUUAACGCUGGCGGCAUGCCUAAUACAUGCAAGUCGAUCGGGUGCAGCAAUGCAUCAGAGGCGAACGGGUGAGUAACACGUAUCCAAUUUACCCCAUAGCGAGGGAUAACUAGUCGAAAGAUUAGCUAAUACCGCAUAACGAUUAAAAUAUCGCAUGAGAAUUAAUUUAAAGAUCCGUUUGGAUUACUAUGGGAUAAGGGUGCGGCAUAUCAGCUAGUUGGUGAGGUAACGGCCCACCAAGGCAAUGACGUGUAGUUAUGCUGAGAGGUAGAAUAACCACAAUGGAACUGAGACACGGUCCAUACUCCUACGGGAGGCAGCAGUAGGGAAUUUUUCACAAUGGACGAAAGUCUGAUGGAGCAAUGCCGCGUGAACGAUGAAGGUCUUUGUAGAUUGUAAAGUUCUUUUAUUUAGGAAGAAAAGCUAGUAAAGGAAAUGUUAUUAGUUUGACCGUACUAUUUGAAUAAGUAACGACUAACUAUGUGCCAGCAGUCGCGGUAAUACAUAGGUUGCAAGCGUUAUCCGGAUUUAUUGGGCGUAAAACAAGCGCAGGCGGAUUAGAAAGUCUGGUGUUAAAAUCAACUGCUUAACGGUUGAAUGCAUUGGAAACUUCUAGUCUAGAGUGUGGUAGAGAGUUCUGGAACUCCAUGUGGAGCGGUGGAAUGCGUAGAUAUAUGGAAGAACACCAGCUGCGAAGGCGAGAACUUAGGCCAUUACUGACGCUUAGGCUUGAAAGUGUGGGGAGCAAAUAGGAUUAGAUACCCUAGUAGUCCACACCGUAAACGAUGGAUGUUAAACGUCGGGGCGAUCACCUCGGUGUUGCAGUUAACACAUUAAACAUCCUGCCUGGGUAGUACAUUCGCAAGAAUGAAACUCAAACGGAAUUGACGGGGACCCGCACAAGUGGUGGAGCAUGUUGCUUAAUUCGACGGUACACGAAAAACCUUACCUAGACUUGACAUCCUUGGCAAAACUAUAGAAAUAUAGUCGAGGUUAACCGAGAGACAGGUGGUGCAUGGUUGUCGUCAGCUCGUGUCGUGAGAUGUUGGGUUAAGUCCCGCAACGAGCGCAACCCUUAUCGUUAGUUACUUUGUCUAACGAGACUGCCAACGCAAGUUGGAGGAAGGUGGGGAUGACGUCAAAUCAUCAUGCCCCUUAUGUCUAGGGCUGCAAACGUGCUACAAUGGCCAAUACAAACAGUUACCAAACCGUAAGGUGGAGUUAAUCUGCAAAGUUGGUCUCAGUUCGGAUUGAGGGCUGCAAUUCGCCCUCAUGAAGUCGGAAUCACUAGUAAUCGCGAAUCAGCUAUGUCGCGGUGAAUACGUUCUCGGGUCUUGUACACACCGCCCGUCAAACUACGAGAGUUGAUAGUGUCUAAAACCGUGUUGCUAACCGCAAGGAAGCGCAUGUCUAGGACAAGAUUAAUGAUUGGAGUUAAGUCGUAACAAGGUACCCCUACGAGAACGUGGGGGUGGAUCACCUCCUUUC
RNAcentral lists this ribosomal RNA (1504 nucleotides) under Mycoplasma amphoriforme A39. Its description in RNAcentral is "16S ribosomal RNA". It matches the Rfam family "Bacterial small subunit ribosomal RNA". The record is from RNAcentral. Lineage: Bacteria; Bacillati; Mycoplasmatota; Mollicutes; Mycoplasmatales; Mycoplasmataceae.